UGAUGCAGCACGCCGCGUGAGCGAUGAAGGCCUUCGGGUCGUAAAGCUCUGUCCUCAAGGAAGAUAAUGACGGUACUUGAGGAGGAAGCCCCGGCUAACUACGUGCCAGCAGCCGCGGUAAUACGUAGGGGGCUAGCGUUAUCCGGAAUUACUGGGCGUAAAGGGUGCGUAGGCGGUCUUUCAAGCCAGAAGUGAAAGGCUACGGCUCAACCGUAGUAAGCUUUUGGAACUGUAGGACUUGAGUGCAGGAGAGGAGAGUGGAAUUCCUAGUGUAGCGGUGAAAUGCGUAGAUAUUAGGAGGAACACCAGUAGCGAAGGCGGCUCUCUGGACUGUAACUGACGCUGAGGCACGAAAGCGUGGGGAGCAAACAGGAUUAGAUACCCCGGUAG
RNAcentral lists this ribosomal RNA (390 nucleotides) under Clostridium perfringens. RNAcentral describes it as "bacterial SSU rRNA". It matches the Rfam family "Bacterial small subunit ribosomal RNA", at positions 384 to 793 of the family's 1533-position model. The record is from RNAcentral. Lineage: Bacteria; Bacillati; Bacillota; Clostridia; Eubacteriales; Clostridiaceae.